ACUAAGCGUACACGGUGGAUGCCCUGGCAGUCAGAGGCGAUGAAGGACGUGCUAAUCUGCGAAAAGCGCCGGCGAGGUGAUAUGAACCUUUGACCCGGCGAUGUCCGAAUGGGGAAACCCAGUGUGUUCCGACACACUAUCGUUAACUGAAUACAUAGGUUAACGAGGCGAACCGGGGGAACUGAAACAUCUAAGUACCCCGAGGAAAAGAAAUCAACCGAGAUUCCCCCAGUAGCGGCGAGCGAACGGGGAGCAGCCCAGAGUCUGAAUCAGCUUGUGUGUUAGUGGAAGCGUCUGGAAAGUCGCACGGUACAGGGUGAAAGUCCCGUACACGAAAGCACACAGGCUGUGAACUCGAAGAGUAGGGCGGGACACGUGGUAUCCUGUCUGAAUAUGGGGGGACCAUCCUCCAAGGCUAAAUACUCCUGACUGACCGAUAGUGAACCAGUACCGUGAGGGAAAGGCGAAAAGAACCCCGGCGAGGGGAGUGAAAAAGAACCUGAAACCGUGUACGUACAAGCAGUGGGAGCCUCUUUUAUGGGGUGACUGCGUACCUUUUGUAUAAUGGGUCAGCGACUUAUAUUCUGUAGCAAGGUUAACCGUAUAGGGGAGCCGAAGGGAAACCGAGUCUUAACUGGGCGUUAAGUUGCAGGGUAUAGACCCGAAACCCGGUGAUCUAGCCAUGGGCAGGUUGAAGGUUGGGUAACACUAACUGGAGGACCGAACCGACUAAUGUUGAAAAAUUAGCGGAUGACUUGUGGCUGGGGGUGAAAGGCCAAUCAAACCGGGAGAUAGCUGGUUCUCCCCGAAAGCUAUUUAGGUAGCGCCUCGUGAACUCAUCUUCGGGGGUAGAGCACUGUUUCGGCUAGGGGGCCAUCCCGGCUUACCAACCCGAUGCAAACUACGAAUACCGAAGAAUGUUAUCACGGGAGACACACGGCGGGUGCUAACGUCCGUCGUGAAGAGGGAAACAACCCAGACCGCCAGCUAAGGUCCCAAAGUCAUGGUUAAGUGGGAAACGAUGUGGGAAGGCACAGACAGCCAGGAUGUUGGCUUAGAAGCAGCCAUCAUUUAAAGAAAGCGUAAUAGCUCACUGGUCGAGUCGGCCUGCGCGGAAGAUGUAACGGGGCUAAACCAUGCACCGAAGCUGCGGCAGCGACACUAUGUGUUGUUGGGUAGGGGAGCGUUCUGUAAGCCGUUGAAGGUGUCCUGUGAGGGGUGCUGGAGGUAUCAGAAGUGCGAAUGCUGACAUAAGUAACGAUAAAGCGGGUGAAAAGCCCGCUCGCCGGAAGACCAAGGGUUCCUGUCCAACGUUAAUCGGGGCAGGGUGAGUCGACCCCUAAGGCGAGGCCGAAAGGCGUAGUCGAUGGGAAACAGGUUAAUAUUCCUGUACUUGGUGUUACUGCGAAGGGGGGACGGAGAAGGCUAUGUUAGCCGGGCGACGGUUGUCCCGGUUUAAGCAUGUAGGCGGAGGUUCCAGGUAAAUCCGGUUCCUUAUUAACGCUGAGGUGUGAUGACGAGGCACUACGGUGCUGAAGUAACAAAUGCCCUGCUUCCAGGAAAAGCCUCUAAGCAUCAGGUAACAUCAAAUCGUACCCCAAACCGACACAGGUGGUCAGGUAGAGAAUACCAAGGCGCUUGAGAGAACUCGGGUGAAGGAACUAGGCAAAAUGGUGCCGUAACUUCGGGAGAAGGCACGCUGAUAUGUAGGUGAAGCCCCUGCGGGUGGAGCUGAAAUCAGUCGAAGAUACCAGCUGGCUGCAACUGUUUAUUAAAAACACAGCACUGUGCAAACACGAAAGUGGACGUAUACGGUGUGACGCCUGCCCGGUGCCGGAAGGUUAAUUGAUGGGGUUAGCGGCAACGCGAAGCUCUUGAUCGAAGCCCCGGUAAACGGCGGCCGUAACUAUAACGGUCCUAAGGUAGCGAAAUUCCUUGUCGGGUAAGUUCCGACCUGCACGAAUGGCGUAAUGAUGGCCAGGCUGUCUCCACCCGAGACUCAGUGAAAUUGAACUCGCUGUGAAGAUGCAGUGUACCCGCGGCAAGACGGAAAGACCCCGUGAACCUUUACUAUAGCUUGACACUGAACACUGGUCCUUGAUGUGUAGGAUAGGUGGGAGGCUUUGAAGCGUGGACGCCAGUCUGCGUGGAGCCAACCUUGAAAUACCACCCUUUAAUGGCUGGUGUUCUAACGUAGACCCGUGAUCCGGGUUGCGGACAGUGUCUGGUGGGUAGUUUGACUGGGGCGGUCUCCUCCCAAAGAGUAACGGAGGAGCACGAAGGUUAGCUAAUCCUGGUCGGACAUCAGGAGGUUAGUGCAAUGGCAUAAGCUAGCUUGACUGCGAGAGUGACGGCUCGAGCAGGUGCGAAAGCAGGUCAUAGUGAUCCGGUGGUUCUGAAUGGAAGGGCCAUCGCUCAACGGAUAAAAGGUACUCCGGGGAUAACAGGCUGAUACCGCCCAAGAGUUCAUAUCGACGGCGGUGUUUGGCACCUCGAUGUCGGCUCAUCACAUCCUGGGGCUGAAGUAGGUCCCAAGGGUAUGGCUGUUCGCCAUUUAAAGUGGUACGCGAGCUGGGUUUAGAACGUCGUGAGACAGUUCGGUCCCUAUCUGCCGUGGGCGCUGGAGAAUUGAGGGGGGCUGCUCCUAGUACGAGAGGACCGGAGUGGACGCAUCACUGGUGUUCGGGUUGUCAUGCCAAUGGCACUGCCCGGUAGCUAAAUGCGGAAGAGAUAAGUGCUGAAAGCAUCUAAGCACGAAACUUGCCCCGAGAUGAGUUCUCCCUGAGACUUUAAGUCUCCUGAAGGAACGUUGAAGACUACGACGUUGAUAGGUCGGGUGUGUAAGCGCAGCGAUGCGUUGAGCUAACCGAUACUAAUGAACCGUGAGGCUUAACC
This 2895-nucleotide ribosomal RNA is filed under the name Enterobacter cloacae. Its description in RNAcentral is "bacterial LSU rRNA". It matches the Rfam family "Bacterial large subunit ribosomal RNA". The record is from RNAcentral. Lineage: Bacteria; Pseudomonadati; Pseudomonadota; Gammaproteobacteria; Enterobacterales; Enterobacteriaceae.